Molecule: ribosomal RNA, 823 nt
Filed under: Salmonella enterica
Lineage: Bacteria; Pseudomonadati; Pseudomonadota; Gammaproteobacteria; Enterobacterales; Enterobacteriaceae
Description: partial 23S ribosomal RNA
Rfam family: Bacterial large subunit ribosomal RNA
Source: RNAcentral
GAGUCUUAAUUGGGCGUUAAGUUGCAGGGUAUAGACCCGAAACCCGGUGAUCUAGCCAUGGGCAGGUUGAAGGUUGGGUAACACUAACUGGAGGACCGAACCGACUAAUGUUGAAAAAUUAGCGGAUGACCUGUGGCUGGGGGUGAAAGGCCAAUCAAACCGGGAGAUAGCUGGUUCUCCCCGAAAGCUAUUUAGGUAGCGCCUCGUGAAUUCAUCUCCGGGGGUAGAGCACUGUUUCGGCUAGGGGGCCAUCCCGGCUUACCAACCCGAUGCAAACUGCGAAUACCGGAGAAUGUUAUCACGGGAGACACACGGCGGGUGCUAACGUCCGUCGUGAAGAGGGAAACAACCCAGACCGCCAGCUAAGGUCCCAAAGUCAUGGUUAAGUGGGAAACGAUGUGGGAAGGCCCAGACAGCCAGGAUGUUGGCUUAGAAGCAGCCAUCAUUUAAAGAAAGCGUAAUAGCUCACUGGUCGAGUCGGCCUGCGCGGAAGAUGUAACGGGGCUAAACCAUGCACCGAAGCUGCGGCAGCGACGCUGAUGCGUUGUUGGGUAGGGGAGCGUUCUGUAAGCCUGUGAAGGUGGCCUGUGAGGGUUGCUGGAGGUAUCAGAAGUGCGAAUGCUGACAUAAGUAACGAUAAAGCGGGUGAAAAGCCCGCUCGCCGGAAGACCAAGGGUUCCUGUCCAACGUUAAUCGGGGCAGGGUGAGUCGACCCCUAAGGCGAGGCCGAAAGGCGUAGUCGAUGGGAAACGGGUUAAUAUUCCCGUACUUGGUGUUACUGCGAAGGGGGGACGGAGAAGGCUAUGUUGGCCGGGCGACGGUU